RNAcentral lists this ribosomal RNA (258 nucleotides) under uncultured bacterium. Its description in RNAcentral is "partial 16S ribosomal RNA". It matches the Rfam family "Bacterial small subunit ribosomal RNA", at positions 96 to 354 of the family's 1533-position model. The record is from RNAcentral.
CGGCGGACGGGUGAGUAACGCGUGGGUAACCUGCCUCAUACAGGGGGAUAACAGUUAGAAAUGACUGCUAAUACCGCAUAAGCGCACAGGACCGCAUGGUCCGGUGUGAAAAACUCCGGUGGUACGAGAUGGACCUGCGUCUGAUUAGCUGGUUGGCGGGGUAACGGCCCACCAAGGCGACGAUCAGUAGCCGACCUGAGAGGGUGGCCGGCCACAUUGGGACUGAGACACGGCCCAAACUCCUACGGAAGGCAGCAG